CAGGGAGACAACAAAAUGUAAAUAUUAAUUUUGUCACCUUAGGUCGAUCGGUAUCUCAGAUUCUUUAUUUUUUAAGAAUUUCAGUUUCUAAGUUUUUUCUAGGUCACACCCAUCACUUUUUCCUGGGCCAUUAGCUCAGGUGGUUAGAGCGCACCCCUGAUAAGGGUGAGGUCCCUGGUUCAAGUCCAGGAUGGCCCAUAUCUCUAUGUUGGGGGUAUAGCUCAGUUGGUAGAGCGCCUGCUUUGCAAGCAGGAUGUCAGCGGUUCGAGUCCGCUUACCUCCACUGAAUACCACCUCUUGCAUAUAUUUAAAGAGGGAAAUUGUUUUGAGUUGUGUCCUAAUUUGCUCUGAGCGAAUCUAGCUUCCUAUUUUAUUCAAUAAAUAAGAUGCUGGACUCAUUGAAUUUUUUUUCAUUGUUUUCAGAGAACCUUGACAACUGCAUAGAUUAUUUUUGAAGACAAUAAGCAUCUUUAAUGAUGCAGAUUUAUUAUUUGUGCGAAUGCAUUAAAUAACAAUUCUAUUAAGCUGAUGCUUCAAUUAUUGAAGUUAUU
This 551-nucleotide transfer RNA is filed under the name uncultured Synechococcus sp. RNAcentral's name for it is "16S-23S ribosomal RNA intergenic spacer". The stretch from base 211 to 283 matches the Rfam family "tRNA". Lineage: Bacteria; Bacillati; Cyanobacteriota; Cyanophyceae; Synechococcales; Synechococcaceae. The record is from RNAcentral.